ACAGAGGUGGCAAGCGUUGUUCGGAUUUAUUGGGCGUAAAGGGUCCGUAGGCGGCCUAGAAAGUCGGAUGUGAAAUCCCACAGCUCAACUGUGGAACUGCAUUCGAAACUUCUAGGCUCGAGUGUGAUAGGGGUAAAGGGAAUUCCCGGUGUGAGGGUUAAAUCUGCAGAGACCGGGAGGAACACCAGUCGCGAAGGCGCUUUACUGGAUCACUACUGACGCUGAGGGACGAAAGUCAGGGGAGCAAAAGG
Molecule: ribosomal RNA, 251 nt
Filed under: uncultured prokaryote
Description: partial 16S rRNA
Rfam family: Bacterial small subunit ribosomal RNA
Source: RNAcentral